CUCCCACAGAGUGGUACCAAAGCCCCACUUGUCCGUGGCCAAACUCAGAUUUUGCUGACUUUCGAUGCAUUCGGGGGGCACCCACGGGAUCCGCUCCACCAGAACUCUCUUUGGCAGCCUAAAGUAAAAUGUGACUCCACUUACAACUGACCUGGAAAAACUGAUACGCCAUGACGCAUUCAUCCAUCACAGGACUCUCCAUGCCCUUGUUAAACCCGCAGCGGUGAGCAUAUGAGGAACUGCCACUGUUGUACCAGCCAGGAAAGUAAUACCUGUUUACAAGUGUGAGCAAAAAAAAAAAGUCAUCAUAUGAACGCUUACUAAAAAUUAAAAAUGUAAUUAUCCACCUGAUUCUGAAAUGUAAGCGCUCGCUGGUCUCCGGGUUCAGUUUGAAGACGUGAUUGGCUGGAAACCACAUUCGGUCACUUUCCCUCAUCAGGCUGAAUAAGUUGAAGUAUAACGGUGCAAUACCUGCAAGGAAGGUUUUUUAUUAUGUAACCUAUUUUUUUAUAUAAAACACACAUAAUGGAAUAAAAGUGGGGGUCUCGCAUUUAAGCCAGACAGGAAUGACUAAGUGAAAACUCGUUUGUUUCAUUGUAUGUCACCGCUGAACAUUUGCUGCUUUUACAGGCAAUGUAAAAGGAGUUUAUGACUCUUAUCGGGAUGUUAAAUCAAAAAGGUGCAUUUGUAUAAUCAAAUUACACGGUCUCGUUUAAGUUUCAAGUAUUUUGUGCAUGUUUUUUAGAAUCGAUUAUUCUGUCGAUAAAUCAAAUUAUCGGGUACACUUUUAUUUGCAAUAAAAUGUGGUUAAAGAAAAAUGUUAACAUUUAGACAUAAAAAAAUCACUCAAAAUGAUAACUUUAUUAUUAAAAUGAUUAUUAAAAUAUGAAAAAAUGAUUAUGAAAAUACAAGACGAUUCAUUUGUUAAUCUAUGUGCUGGAGAUUAAUCGUUUAAUUUUGACAGUUUAUUGUUUUUUUUCAUUUUAGCUAGCAACAAGCACAUUCUAUCUUUCCUUUAUAUUGUAACAUCAGCCUAGCGUGUACGAACUUGUAGAGUGAGCUUAUUCGGAGACAGAAGACUUUCUUAACAGGAAGCACUCAUGAGUGAAGCAACAACCUAACGAUGAGAACGCCGCCUUGAGAGGAAAUGCCCGUGACCACAAGCGGAAAUCAAGGCACUUGCAGGGUUGACCUACAUUUUUAUUCUCUCAUGCAUUAUUAUUUACUAGCCAUGACACCAAUCCGAUAUUUUGCAUUUUUUAAAAUGUUCAACCAGGUCAUCUCCCACCUCAGGCUUCAACUCCACCGUGACCCUAAACAGUGGCAAGAAAAAUGCACAGAUAUAAAUCUGUGGAUAAAAACCAGUCCACUUUGGAAUGCAGAUCACCGUGUGAGAACUGUGUCUUCAUCGCUCACCACAAGUUUUCGCCGCGAGGAUGCAAAGCUCCUCUGCUACGUAAUCGCCGGGCGGGUCCAGAAGAUGGCGUGCAGUCAGGUGGUAGGCCAUUAUGAUGCGUUGUGGGGCAGGUGCCGCUCGGGUUCAUGUUUCUCACCAAAAAGCAGGCCAUGUACCGACAUUCACCUAGAAAAGGGAAAAAACAGCAGCAAG
Syngnathus acus (greater pipefish) is the source of this 1609-nucleotide long non-coding RNA. RefSeq lists it as uncharacterized. The transcript is spliced from 3 exons. Lineage: Eukaryota; Metazoa; Chordata; Actinopteri; Syngnathiformes; Syngnathidae. The record is from RefSeq and is a predicted model, not a curated record.